AGGUCUAUAGUUUAUUAAAAUUUUUAGCUUGCAAUUAAAAGAUACAUUAGUUAGCCCUU
This 59-nucleotide transfer RNA is filed under the name Pseudoniphargus elongatus. RNAcentral's name for it is "tRNA-Ala". Lineage: Eukaryota; Metazoa; Arthropoda; Malacostraca; Amphipoda; Allocrangonyctidae. The record is from RNAcentral.